CUCCAUAAGAGCCCAGCCCUACCUUCUUCCCCCAUCGCAAUCCUCUCCCCAUCUAAUAGCUCAAAAGCUGUCCUAACCCUAAUUUUCUCUUCGAAAAUCUCUAUCUUUCAACUGAUUUGUCUGCAAUCUCCUCGGAACCCUUGCUGUUAGCCGUUCUCUUUCGAAACCCUAAUUUGCUCAACCAUUGCCUGAUCUUUUGAAUCUCUCUCGAUUUGUCGACAGUUCCAUAAAUCGAAGAUAAUAAAAAUUGUUAGAAAAAUUUUUAAAUUUGGUUCUUAGCUAUAUUUUGUUUUUUGUUUUUCAAAUUUUGUUGAUAUUCAAGAUACUGUGCACUAAAU
This 338-nucleotide unclassified non-coding RNA is filed under the name Hevea brasiliensis (rubber tree). The record is from RNAcentral. Lineage: Eukaryota; Viridiplantae; Streptophyta; Magnoliopsida; Malpighiales; Euphorbiaceae.